RNAcentral lists this unclassified non-coding RNA (502 nucleotides) under uncultured Glomus. RNAcentral's name for it is "SSU rRNA". It matches the Rfam family "Eukaryotic small subunit ribosomal RNA", at positions 569 to 1073 of the family's 1831-position model. The record is from RNAcentral. Lineage: Eukaryota; Fungi; Glomeromycota; Glomeromycetes; Glomerales; Glomeraceae.
AGCAGCCGCGGUAAUUCCAGCUCCAAUAGCGUAUAUUAAAGUUGUUGCAGUUAAAAAGCUCGUAGUUGAAUUUCGGGGUUAGUAGGUUGGUCAUGCCUCUGGUAUGUACUGGUCUCACUGAUUCCUCCUUCCUGAUGAACCUUAAUGCCAUUAAUUUGGUGUUUUGGGGAAUUUGGACUGUUACUUUGAAAAAAUUAGAGUGUUUAAAGCAGGCUUAUUGCUCGAAUACAUUAGCAUGGAAUAAUAAAAUAGGACGGCAUGGUUCUAUUUUGUUGGUUUCUAGGAUCACCGUAAUGAUUAAUAGGGAUAGUUGGGGGCAUUAGUAUUCAAUUGUCAGAGGUGAAAUUCUUGGAUUUAUUGAAGACUAACUACUGCGAAAGCAUUUGCCAAGGAUGUUUUCAUUAAUCAAGAACGAAAGUUAGGGGAUCGAAGACGAUCAGAUACCGUCGUAGUCUUAACCAUAAACUAUGCCGACUAGGAAUCAGACGAUGUUAAUUUUAAU